CCGUCGCGACUAGUACCUGGGGUAAGUUUUCCUGAAGCUUAUCGGAACGUGUAGUUCUGUUGCCUCCUGCCAAAAGUCUGAACAGGAGUCGCCGGAAGUACGGUAGCUUGCCGGAAAUCCUCGCCGGGAAAAUAAGGCACCUGAUUGGAGAAUCUCUUAGACAAACAAGCAGUAAAGCUCAGCAAUUCCAGAAUAAAAUAGCAAAAUCAGCGGAAAUCGAGCGGCAAAUCCACGGCUCUUUAAUAGCUUGAAAUCACUGAUUACUCAAGUGCCAACUAAAGGACAAGAGAACGAAGAUGAAGCUCAGCGGAUCCACAGUACAGCAGCAAAACCAGCAAACUUGUAAUUCAAAAUAGCCUUCGAAAACCAAUUUAAUGACUCCUUUCAAUUCAAACAAUAAAAGAAACUCAAAACCCAAAAUGGGUUUGAUUCAAAAACCGAUCUUUUAACAGAAAAGUCCAAGAAUUUGCAGGAAAAAAAAUUGGGUUGAAAUAAUAGUAACUAAAAUUUAAAGAACCCCACUUUCUGAGAAUAGCUCAAUUAAUCAGAACUUUCUAAAGGGAGGGGGGAGGGGAGGAAUACGCUCACAAGAUUAGGGAGAGCUGAGCUGGGGUAGAGAGCAUAGAGGGAGAGCAUCAACUGUUUCCCGAUAAUAAACUAAACCUUCUUGCUUAACCCUAAAGUUGAUUGUAAUAUGUUUUACAAAAGGCAUGAACUGAUAUCGCCCAAGCUUGGACCUGCUAUCAUCUUCUCAAAAUCUAAGGAGUUACACUUCUAAGUUAUAUUUUUAGACCCUCCAAGCAGUUAGGAUACAUCAUUGCAUACUUUUAAUCACAAAAUAUGACAUACAGAUUCGAUUUAAGAAGCCCAAUAGCAUUUAAAUAAAAAAAAAGUAUUUUUGCAGAAAACAGCUGAAAUCGUA
RNAcentral lists this long non-coding RNA (922 nucleotides) under Nicotiana benthamiana. RNAcentral's name for it is "long non-coding RNA (NBEN_LNC007479)". Lineage: Eukaryota; Viridiplantae; Streptophyta; Magnoliopsida; Solanales; Solanaceae. The record is from RNAcentral.